UCUACUACGUCCCUGUGCCAUGUGUACGAGCUGGAACGGCUCCUGCAUUUAGCGCCUCAGCCACGAUCCAUCCGGUCAAUGCAGUGGAGAGAAUGGUCUUGCCUCUCCCUCCCAUUAAUUAGUGCUUCAACUAACCUGUCGUGUCCUGCACUUCAGCUGGGAGUCUGACUAACUGAUUAGCAGCAGCGAUGGAGAUAAGCUUCGGGCUGCGAGUCUGUGAGAGAUCAUCCACACAGCUCCAGCCUCCUCCGCUGACCUGCACUGACAGCUGAGUGCCUCAGCAGCCUUCGAGCUGCAGAUCGCUGGACACGGCUACACAAGCAUUGAAAAGCGCAGAUCAAUACAAAAAGGAGAAGCUGAGACCUGUGUCGCGGCCAGUGAAGCGGUGGCUGUGAUAGACAGACUGGCGCUGCUGAUCCCCGGAGACUGUGCCAGCAAGUGUUCUAUAUCAUACUUUUAAGAUCACCCAACAAUUAGCAAUCAGCAAAUUGGAUCGCUGAUCUGUGAAUUGGAUCGGCCAUCCAGGAAUGAGAGAUUUGCCCAAUUGAUGCACAUCCACAGUUCUCUUCUCUCAUAACGGCAAAUGGUCGCCAUGGAAACAUCAAGGACCAGCCUCACUCUCAGGAAAAAAAACAUACAUUUAAGGUGGUGCAUUAUCCAGUCCAUCAACACAGUUCAUAUCCGUAAUGAAGCCAUUUCAAUUUUACAGAUCUCCAGAUGCUUCAGGUGUAUAUUUUUCUGCAGAUCUCCAUAAGCUCCAGGUGUAUAUCUUUCAGCAGAUCUCCAGAAAAUUACAGGUGAUUGGUACAAUGCUAACCUGCAAACAUGAAGACAGGAGUAUUUGCUGCUCAAAUUAAAACAUUUAUAAAAAAUAUAAAAUAAAAUGAUAGUAUUUAGGUGUAAAGGCUACAUUUACAGUUUCCCAUUUUCUGCAUUAACUAUGAUCUACAAGCACGAACGUCAAGCCACAAAUUGGAUCACAGCGAUCAAUCCUAAAUGGAACCAGCCUAAAAGUCACGAUUAUGCUGCAAAGAAGUUUGAGGCCCUUGGACUGGCAAAUGUUAUGAACUCAUUCCCUAAUUUUAGCAUUUGUAGUUUUCAUUUACAUAAGAACACAAGUUCUACAUGAUUUAUAUAAUCGUAUUCCCUUAGGUCAGGCAUUCCCAAACACGGUCCUCAAGGCACACCAACAGUGCAGGUUUUAGUGAUAUAAAGGCUUCAGCACAGAUGGUUAAAUCAAAAUAACUGAGGUACUAAUUAAGUCACCUGUGUUCAAGCCUGGAUAUCACUAAAACCAGGACUGUUAGUGUGCCUUGAGGGCCAAGGUUGGGAAAUACUGCCUUAGGUAUUACACUACAUUAUAAGCGUGGGAUUGCAAGAGAAGCCAUCAUUUUUAUAAUUCUAUUUGGGAUGUUAGUCUGUCUAUAAUAACUUCACUCAGUCUAUACAAAACUUUUGUCACUUUCCCCAGACUAGGUAUCUGCAAUGUUAGCCAACUUCACAUUCCAGAACCACGCACAAAAUCUCCAUAAGCUUUCCUAUCUAAGUACAUCCUCUCUCUACAGUCCACACAUAACUUCACAUACUUUCUCUUUCUAUCUUCACUUUUACAUCCUCCCGACCCUUGGCCGGCAUUGCUGCGUGACUGGCUCAUACAGCCAACCUUGAACCUUUGCUAUAUGGGUGGACUAUUAUGCAAUAGGUAGCACCUAUCCUUGCAUAUCAAUGACUAUUUCCUUCUAGACUGUAAGCUUGCAAGGAAGGUCCUCUUACAUCUUUGGGGGGAAUUCAAUUAACCAAGGUAAUCUACAAAGGGCAGCGGGGCUAUUCAAUUAGGCUCGAAAAGAAGUCAAGGAUAAGUAGCCUAUUUUCAGUUACAGUGACCAUGUUAACACAUAGGUCCGGGAACUUAUUUUGGAUUCUAUGGGUUAACGUCCAUUAACAGUGGAAUUUACUGGGUGAGAAAAAGAGUCUCUAAUUGAACAGCCCUGGGUGUUAAAGCUCGAGACAACCAUCCUUUUCACCCCCGGUAAAUUACCAGGGAUAAUUGAAUUCCCCCCUAUGUCUGUCUGUUAUUACCCAGUCUUGUUUUAUUACUGUUUUUUCCCAAUUGCAAAGCACAAUGGAAUAUGAAUGCGCUAUAUAAGUAAACUGUUAAUAAAUAUGUGUAUACUAUUUAGGUAGAGUAAAUAAUAUGCGGAUCCAACCUUUGCACUAAACA
Pseudophryne corroboree (corroboree frog) is the source of this 2221-nucleotide long non-coding RNA. RefSeq lists it as uncharacterized. The transcript is spliced from 7 exons. The record is from RefSeq and is a predicted model, not a curated record. NCBI's taxonomy places the organism in Eukaryota, Metazoa, Chordata, Amphibia, Anura, Myobatrachidae.